Molecule: microRNA precursor, 86 nt
Filed under: Solanum tuberosum (potato)
Lineage: Eukaryota; Viridiplantae; Streptophyta; Magnoliopsida; Solanales; Solanaceae
Description: MIR8024 microRNA precursor family
Rfam family: MIR8024 microRNA precursor family
Source: Rfam by way of RNAcentral
UUGGAGGAUAUAAAGACUUCAACUUGUUUACUUAAAGAAUUUGAAGACUUCAACUUGAAUAUUUGGUGGAUUUAAAGACUUCAACU